Diceros bicornis minor is the source of this 572-nucleotide long non-coding RNA. RefSeq lists it as uncharacterized. Lineage: Eukaryota; Metazoa; Chordata; Mammalia; Perissodactyla; Rhinocerotidae. The transcript has 3 exons. The record is from RefSeq and is a predicted model, not a curated record.
AUUAAAAGCUGAGGGGCAGGGCUCCUGGGGCGGCCGCCUGUAACCGCUCUGCUCGGGCCUCCGUGCGCAGGGCGAGGACGCGCCGUGGUGACUCGAUUUCCCCGGUUGCUCCUGGCGGGGAGGAGGAGUGAAGAGUCAACUCCGGGCUGCAGUUCCACGCCCCGUUCCCUGCAUCUGGGAUGGCACUCUUUUUUGGUCAAGAAUUAGAGCUAACUGAAGUUUGUGAACAGGGUCACAACCCUGGUGGAAAAUUGAUAUAGAGAUGCAUGUGAACUCAAAACCAGACAAAAGACGUGAACAGACCUUUUCUGAAGAGAAUAUACAGAUGGCAGGUUGCUGCCAAAGCAUGGUUGCAGACGAGUGGUGUAGGUCCUCGCCCAGGAACCAAACCCGGCUGUGGUAGCAGAGCGAGCUGAACCUAACCACUAGGCCAUGGGGCCGGCCCCCCUGGUAUGGUUUCUUGUAGCCUUGAACCACUAUGUAAAUUCAGCUACCCUGACGAAGAGACCUUGACCUCAGGGAGAGGAAGAGGGUUCUAGCUAAAUCCAGCUUUUCACCCAUCCCCACCAAGA